RNAcentral lists this ribosomal RNA (297 nucleotides) under Ehrlichia canis. Its description in RNAcentral is "partial 16S ribosomal RNA". It matches the Rfam family "Bacterial small subunit ribosomal RNA", at positions 86 to 400 of the family's 1533-position model. The record is from RNAcentral. Lineage: Bacteria; Pseudomonadati; Pseudomonadota; Alphaproteobacteria; Rickettsiales; Anaplasmataceae.
AAAUUGUUAGUGGCAGACGGGUGAGUAAUGCGUAGGAAUCUACCUAGUAGUACGGAAUAGCCAUUAGAAAUGGUGGGUAAUACUGUAUAAUCCCCGAGGGGGAAAGAUUUAUCGCUAUUAGAUGAGCCUACGUUAGAUUAGCUAGUUGGUGAGGUAAUGGCUUACCAAGGCUAUGAUCUAUAGCUGGUCUGAGAGGACGAUCAGCCACACUGGAACUGAGAUACGGUCCAGACUCCUACGGGAGGCAGCAGUGGGGAAUAUUGGACAAUGGGCGAAAGCCUGAUCCAGCUAUGCCGC